RNAcentral lists this ribosomal RNA (506 nucleotides) under uncultured Bacillota bacterium. Its description in RNAcentral is "bacterial SSU rRNA". It matches the Rfam family "Bacterial small subunit ribosomal RNA", at positions 397 to 896 of the family's 1533-position model. The record is from RNAcentral. Lineage: Bacteria; Bacillati; Bacillota.
CCGCGUGAGUGAGGAAGGCCUUCGGGUCGUAAAGCUCUGUUGUUAGGGAAGAACAAGUACCGUCGAACAGGGCGGUACCUUGACGGUACCUAACCAGAAAGCCACGGCUAACUACGUGCCAGCAGCCGCGGUAAUACGUAGGUGGCAAGCGUUGUCCGGAAUUAUUGGGCGUAAAGCGCGCGCAGGCGGUCUCUUAAGUCUGAUGUGAAAGCCCACGGCUCAACCGUGGAGGGUCAUUGGAAACUGGGGGACUUGAGUACUGGAGAGGAGAGUGGAAUUCCAUGUGUAGCGGUGAAAUGCGUAGAUAUAUGGAGGAACACCAGUGGCGAAGGCGGCUCUCUGGCCAGUAACUGACGCUGAGGCGCGAAAGCGUGGGGAGCAAACAGGAUUAGAUACCCUGGUAGUCCACGCCGUAAACGAUGAGUGCUAGGUGUUGGGGGGUUCCACCCUCAGUGCUGACGUUAACACAUUAAGCACUCCGCCUGGGGAGUACGACCGCAAGGUUG